Long non-coding RNA from Cyprinus carpio (common carp), 487 nucleotides. RefSeq lists it as uncharacterized. The transcript is spliced from 4 exons. The record is from RefSeq and is a predicted model, not a curated record. Lineage: Eukaryota; Metazoa; Chordata; Actinopteri; Cypriniformes; Cyprinidae.
UCUAAAAACGGCUGGGUUAUUUUUUAACCCAAAAUGCUGGGCUGAGUCUGUUGGGUCAUUUUGUUGGGUUAUUUUAUUACUUUUUAAACACUUUUGGGUAGUUUCAAUUUACCAGGUGUUGAGUUAAACCUGCUGGGUUGCAACGCUGGGUUAUUUAACGCGCCUUGAAGAUGUUUAAAUCGCUUCCCAACUGUCAUUUUGGAAGAACAACGGGGCAAAGCCACUGGUUUCAACUGUUUUAAGAAGAGCACAUGGAUACAUUUGUGAGAGAAAAAACUCGUCGAAUGCAGUCUUAUCGAGACGUGUAACGGUUGGAACAAACGUGGAAUUCCUUAACCGAGCAGUCCACAAAACCCCAUCCAUUUGUCAUGGCAAUUUGAAAAUGCCAGCAGAUCAAUCAGACAUUGAUCAUAAUCAAUGGACAGGUCACCGUAGCCACCCGGAUCCAGUCUGUAUCCAGAUCAGAUGGUGGAUCAGCACCUAGAGU